Long non-coding RNA from Oreochromis aureus, 689 nucleotides. The record is from Ensembl. Lineage: Eukaryota; Metazoa; Chordata; Actinopteri; Cichliformes; Cichlidae.
GAAAAACGGAAGUGAUAGGAUGUUAUCGCUGCUCGGCACAGUAGAAUUUACGGAGAGACUUCGUGCAGCAGGCGAUGAAAUCUAAAACCUUAUUAAAGCUCGAGUGAAGAAAUCAUCCGUGAAUGCAGACUAUUGGAUAUCCGAGAUAACAGAUCCCCUACAGCAAUAUGAAGUGUGAGGAAGAGGAGAGUCUGAAUGACCCGCAGGUCUAUAACCAGGAGGGGAACUUUGGUCUGAGCGAGGAUGGUCCAGAACUUCCACAGAUUAAAGAGGAACAGGAGGAAGUCUGCACCAGUCAGGAAAUAGCGCAGGUUAUAGUGAAGCAGGAGUCUGAAGAAAUCUUCGUCUGGACUGGGAAAGAGCGGUUCAGAGUGCUGGAUAACAUCUGGAAACAUGAGGAAGACUUACACUGCACAGAUGCACUCUCCCUCUCCUUUUAUCUUGUGCUCUUUCACAAACACACAUAUGGUGCCUUUCUGAACAAUUCGGAAUUUGGCUUAGCUUUCUCAAAUUUAUGUGUUGAUGCAUGCGCAAUCAUCCAGGUGAAUCCGAAUCAACUCUUUGGGACUUGCCAAAUUUACAUCUGCAACACACCAACUGUUGAGUAACGUCCCAUCUGAGAGAUGUGAAACGCAGCAUUAGAAAUGUACAGCCCACACUUACCACAGACUUCUUACACUCUCCCACAG